Molecule: transfer RNA, 77 nt
Filed under: Udotea sp. TZ0819
Lineage: Eukaryota; Viridiplantae; Chlorophyta; Ulvophyceae; Bryopsidales; Halimedaceae
Description: tRNA-Ile
Rfam family: tRNA
About the family: Transfer RNA (tRNA) molecules are approximately 80 nucleotides in length.
Source: RNAcentral
GGGCUAUUAGCUCAGCUGGUUAGAGCGUUGUCCUGAUAAGACAAAAGUCGUUGGUUCAAGUCCAAUAUAGCCCACCA